UCAUAUCCGUGAGUGAGUAACAAACAAGAAGUAGGAAUCGUUUUCAUCUUUCUCUAAUUAAUUAAUUAUUAUUAUUACAGUAAUUAUUAUUAUUGUUGCUAGUGUUACUACUACUAUUAUGCUCGUUGAACUUUCUUUCAAUUAUGCUCUAAUAACACCCAUUUCUGCAACUUAUCUAUCUCCAUUCUCUCUAGCCAGCCAGCCAGCCAGCCAUGUCAUCACCACCGAAUUAUGCCCACGCGCAUNN
RNAcentral lists this long non-coding RNA (247 nucleotides) under Trifolium pratense (red clover). RNAcentral describes it as "long non-coding RNA (TPRA_LNC007497)". The record is from RNAcentral. Lineage: Eukaryota; Viridiplantae; Streptophyta; Magnoliopsida; Fabales; Fabaceae.